This 166-nucleotide small RNA is filed under the name Chrysemys picta bellii (western painted turtle). RNAcentral's name for it is "TUC338 (ENSCPBG00000016502.1)". Lineage: Eukaryota; Metazoa; Chordata; Testudines; Emydidae. The record is from RNAcentral.
UUGUCAGACCUGGAAACUGAAGUCCUAUAUCCACAGAACAUGUACAGCAAGGGCAAUAGUAGUGGAUGCUUCUCCUCACUGCCCUACCAAUUUACUGCAACCCUAGAAGAGACAACUUCUAGGUGUGAGAUGAUUCAGUCUCCAUUCUUAGUAAAGCCUGGGUGUG